GACCGCGUAGCUCAGUUGGAAGAGCAUUGGGUCUAGUAUUCCAAAGGUCGUAGGUUCGAAUCCCACCGUGGCCG
This is a non-coding RNA of Paramuricea clavata, 74 nucleotides long. The record is from the annotation of a GenBank genome assembly. NCBI's taxonomy places the organism in Eukaryota, Metazoa, Cnidaria, Anthozoa, Malacalcyonacea, Plexauridae.